CCAGAGAAAGUAGCAAAAGUGACAGUCCCCUGCAGGCAGAACUUUGAACAGUACACUUAGGCUGGAAGAAAUGUCUUGAGACACUGCAAUAAAGAGUGUUGCUCCUUCUGACUCCUGACAGACCCUGGUGUUCCCCCAUGGGGCCCCCCAUGGCAUGCUGUGCCUCCUUCUUCUGGGAAAACUCAAAAGAAAUCCAAGACAAUAAGCUGGCACUUUGGGGAGUCUCUGAUCUUACCAUGCCCCCCCACACACACACUGCCUAAGGCAGCCAGCUUUAAAGAGUGCUGCAACAGCUUUAAGAGAGUUCAGAAAGAGAAUCAGGGGUCUAGACUUGGGGAGGACUCCUGGACCACACCUGGCAAGCCUCAUGAGAAGAAGAGUAAAGGAGGGGUUCCUUUGCCCUGCUACCAGUGCCUACACCAAAGAGGCCUUGUAGGAAUAAUAUGCAGGGUAAAGGGUGCCAAAUAUAAGCCUGGAGGAAAAAGAGAGAGAAAAGAGAAAUGUGAUUUUCAUUCAUCCUAUUUGAUGGAAAAUGUCUGUCUUCAAUGCCAAAAGCAGUUCUCCAAGCUACAGAAAAUGCUGCUGUGCGGCUUGAUCUAGUUUUAUGAAUGCCCUGAAGGCUUCUUCUGGUGGCUGGGAUGUGCUUAGGAGCCUCCAUCUCCUGUUACAGCUGCACACCCACCUUCCUUCAGUCUGUGAUUUGGCAACAUAAAAGAGCGCUUCGGGAUCACAGAAGCCAAAACUGGGAGUAAAAUGUGGGGGUGGGAAGUCAAGCUGAGCAGCCAUGACCCCAGAAAUUAAAGGUCAAACUCUCCUCUCCUGCUGCUAAUCCCCAGUGAUGCUCUACAAAGCCGCCUGAGGCUUCCUUCUCCAAAAAAACCUUAUCACUUAAAGUUCCGAAUUUCACUCCCUAUCACACUCGAUUCCAGCAUCCUGCAGCCAGAAUCAGCUCUUCAAAUUGUAAAUGCAAUCUUCCCGAGACAUAUAUCCCCACUCUGCCUUAACCCGCUUCUCAGUGCUCUUAAGAAGAAGAAAGAAAUAAUGACAGCAGCAUGACUAGCUGGGUAUCAGCUCUCACUGAUCCAAACCCAGGGCUGCAUGAGGUCAUUAAAUAAUUUGACUCUCAGCCCCAGUCCCCGAGUUCUCCCAGCCUUCGUUCUCUCCACCUUGCACCCAUCCCCUCUCAAAACCUUUGCCUCUGCUGUUCUCGCUUUCUGAAAUCAUUCUUUGCCCUUCUUUGCUGGUAAAUGCCUGUUUAGCCACCAGAUCCCAGCUCCAUCAUGACUUCUUCAUGGAAGACUUCCCUAACCUCCCCAACUAGGUCAAAUCUCCUACUACACAAUGUACAUAUGAUCAAAUGCUCUUUUAACUAUAAUUUGUGAUGCUUUGAUUGACAACAUCUCCCAACUGAACCAUGAGGGUCUUCAGAGCACAGAACGCAUCUGUUUUGAUCAACAAUGUGUUCUCUGCACCUACCAGAUAGAAGGCUCUCAAUGGAUAUUUUUAAGUGAAUGAACUGACAGAAUGUUAGAGCUGGAAGGGUUUAAUCCUUUCAUCUGACAGAUGAGGUCACCUCCAAAGGUCAAUUCAGGUGUAAGCUGACUGGGAAUGGAGCCGCCUUGGUCCCAGGCCCCUCAGGAGCCAACAUCUCCUGUAACAGCCCCACACACAGAGCUUCUAGGGUCCCUGAAGGAGACACCAGACUCAGGAAGCCCAAAACCAUAGCUUCUUCAUCAGGUUAUUUAGAGGUUGCACAGAGAACUUCAGUCCAGAUUCAAUGUACCAAGCAGGGGUCAGUUUUACCAUAAGCACUGUGGCCAGGUAACACCUUGACCUUCCAUAUUCACCAGGUUUUCAGGAAGAAAUAGAAAGUGAAUGGAACUGAGUCAGUUUCUGAUGCUGAAAGAGAAAGGGUGUUGUAACCUUGACUCACACGGGUCUUACACUAAGCACUAAGAGCUCUAAAGGUAUCACCUCAGUCCUCAGACUGCCCUGGUAAAAGGAACCACUUUUAAUGGGGCAGUUAGUCACUUGCUUGUCUAAGGUUGAGGGGCCAUAAGGAGUAAAGCAGGGGCUAGGACCCAGCCAGGUUGGCCUCCCCCAGGCCUGGCUUCUCACCACCACUGUCUACUUCUCUGGAGAGCAAGGCCAUCCUCUGGGAAGGCUGGAAUUGCACAUGGGGAGCAAGAGAAGCCAGCAAAGGGGCCUAAGAGUAGCCUGAAUGGAAGGGAAAACAGUAGGCCUGGGGGAGGGAGGAAAGGAAUUUAAAGUAAGAGAAAGAAGGCAACAGUGUCAAAGGUGCUGGACAGGCUGAGGAGGAUGCCUCCUGGAGGAGCCUGCUGGGUUCAGCCAUGAGCCAGCUUGGUGAGGGCGGUCCCUGCCCCACCCCCAAGCAUUCUCAGAUAUCAGGGAGUCCUACUUUCUCUCGGGAAGGGGGGGGGGCAUUCCUGACUUCUCACACCCCAUGCCCAAGAUUAGGUUUUUCUCACCAUCCCAUACCAUCAUGACUCCAGACAUUCCUCUUUUUUAACCCAUACCCACACCACCUGUCUCUCCUAUAAGACUAUACGUUUCCCAAAGCCAAGGAUGGCAUCUUUCUCAUUCAUAACCACUCCCCACUGGGCCUGGCACAUGCUCAAUAAAUACAGAGUCACUGUGUGAAGUUUCAGAGAGUGGCGAAGCAAAAGCCAGAGCCAUCCAGGGGACACUCAUGACCUUGGGACUGAGGUCUCAGCAUUCAGGGGGGACGCCAGACGGCACCAGGCUGAUUCAGCAAAGCCUCGGGCACAGUGCCACGGGUUCCGGAGAAAUAAACACACCGCUCCUUUGGCACAAAUUCCCCGGGUUAUUAGCCACGUCUGCCAGGAUGCUUUCCAGCCCCUGCCCUGAGGCAGCGUGUAAGCCACAGAAAAAAGAGAGGUGGAAAACGCAUCAGAACUCCAUGACUGGUUGAUUGAUUUGCUCCUCUGUGAACUCCAGCAAGUAGAGCAGCAAUACCAAUACCAUCUGAGUGGUCACAGAACUGGAUAAGCCUCAAGAGCACCCAGACAAGAGAAGGCAUACUCCAUCUGCUGGACUCCAGUGUAAAGUGGCUGUCAGUGUCCCCCUGCAUGCCACCCUGCCCCAUAUUUGACAGCACAGGGACAGCAAGACGAUUUGCUUUUCGGUCUCCCAAGGCUCACUAAUGGCUCCAGGCAAGGGAGCAAACUUAGCACUUCGUUGCUCAGGGAAAGGAGAAUGGGAUUAAAAUGGCAAGUCCUUCCCACUCUGUUCUGUAGAAAAGAAAUAACAAAUGAAGCACAUCCAAGCUGAAGGAUUUGGGUACUCAUGUUGAUUCAGACCAAGUCCCUUCUCCGGCGGCUCCACCCGCCUUCCUUUCCAGCCUGAUGGCCCACCCCUGACUGAGCCUCCGGAUCUCACAGCCAGCAGCUGUCCCCUAUAAGCCAUGCUCACUUGCUCACAAUCUGUGACUUCCUGCCCACAUUUUAGUGCGUGAUCUUUCCACAACGCCACAGCUCUUUUUCCUGAUAAAGUCCCACUAAUCCUUUAAGACCAUCUCAAAAAAGCCACUUCUGUGAAUCUUUGAUCACUUGUCCCUCAGAAUUUUCUUGGCACUCUAUUUACA
Long non-coding RNA from Canis lupus familiaris (dog), 3625 nucleotides. RefSeq lists it as uncharacterized. The record is from RefSeq and is a predicted model, not a curated record. The transcript is spliced from 5 exons. NCBI's taxonomy places the organism in Eukaryota, Metazoa, Chordata, Mammalia, Carnivora, Canidae.